GACGAACGCUGGCGGCGCGCCUAACACAUGCAAGUCGAACGAUCGAGAGAGAGCUUGCUUUCUCAAGCGAGUGGCGAACGGGUGAGUAACGCGUGAGGAACCUGCCUCAAAGAGGGGGACAACAGUUGGAAACGACUGCUAAUACCGCAUAAGCCCACGACCCGGCAUCGGGUAGAGGGAAAAGGAGCAAUCCGCUUUGAGAUGGCCUCGCGUCCGAUUAGCUAGUUGGUGAGGUAACGGCCCACCAAGGCGACGAUCGGUAGCCGGACUGAGAGGUUGAACGGCCACAUUGGGACUGAGACACGGCCCAGACUCCUACGGGAGGCAGCAGUGGGGAAUAUUGCACAAUGGGGGAAACCCUGAUGCAGCGACGCCGCGUGGAGGAAGAAGGUCUUAGGAUUGUAAACUCCUGUUGUUGAGGAAGAUAAUGACGGUACUCAACAAGGAAGUGACGGCUAACUACGUG
RNAcentral lists this ribosomal RNA (466 nucleotides) under uncultured bacterium. RNAcentral describes it as "partial 16S ribosomal RNA". It matches the Rfam family "Bacterial small subunit ribosomal RNA", at positions 28 to 507 of the family's 1533-position model. The record is from RNAcentral.